AGGUGAUGAUGUGGGCAACUUCGCUGAAGUUCAUUGAAUAUGUCCCAUGCCUCAUAUAUAACUUCUCCAUCAUGUUGAAAGAAAUAUAUAAUUUCUUUCAUCAAUCU
Mercurialis annua (annual mercury) is the source of this 107-nucleotide small nucleolar RNA. The record is from RefSeq and is a predicted model, not a curated record. NCBI's taxonomy places the organism in Eukaryota, Viridiplantae, Streptophyta, Magnoliopsida, Malpighiales, Euphorbiaceae.